GACGAACGCUGGCGGCGUGCUUAACACAUGCAAGUCGUACGGUAAGGCCCUUUCGGGGGUACACGAGUGGCGAACGGGUGAGUAACACGUGAGUAACCUGCCCACAACUUUGGGAUAACGCUAGGAAACUGGUGCUAAUACUGGAUAUGUUCUCCUGCUGCAUGGUGGGGGUUGGAAAGCUCCGGCGGUUGUGGAUGGACUCGCGGCCUAUCAGCUUGUUGGUGGGGUAGUGGCCUACCAAGGCGGCGACGGGUAGCCGGCCUGAGAGGGUGACCGGCCACAUUGGGACUGAGAUACGGCCCAGACUCCUACGGGAGGCAGCAGUGGGGAAUAUUGCACAAUGGGCGCAAGCCUGAUGCAGAAACGCCGCGUGCGGGAUGACGGCCUUCGGGUUGUAAACCGCUUUCAGCAGGGACGAAGCUUUUUGUGACGGUACCUGCAGAAGAAGCACCGGCUAACUACGUG
This 465-nucleotide ribosomal RNA is filed under the name uncultured bacterium. RNAcentral describes it as "partial 16S ribosomal RNA". It matches the Rfam family "Bacterial small subunit ribosomal RNA", at positions 28 to 507 of the family's 1533-position model. The record is from RNAcentral.